AGGACGAACGCUGGCGGCGUGCUUAACACAUGUAAGUCGAACGGAAAGGCCCUGCUUUUGUGGGGUGCUCGAGUGGCGAACGGGUGAGUAACACGUGAGUAACCUGCCCUUGACUUUGGGAUAACUUCAGGAAACUGGGGCUAAUACCGGAUAGGAGCUCCUGCUGCAUGGUGGGGGUUGGAAAGUUUCGGCGGUUGGGGAUGGACUCGCGGCUUAGUCAGCUUGUUGGUGGGUAGUGGCUUACCAAGGUCUUUGACGGGUAGCCGGCCUGAGAGGGUGACCGGCACAUUGGGACUGAGAUACGGCCCAG
Molecule: ribosomal RNA, 310 nt
Filed under: uncultured soil bacterium
Lineage: Bacteria
Description: bacterial SSU rRNA
Rfam family: Bacterial small subunit ribosomal RNA
Source: RNAcentral